ACGUUUCUCACUCCCUGCCUGGAUUCGGCGCGCUUUUCCACUUGGUCCUCCCGGGUUUCUGCGCGGGACGCGGGCUCGAUCGGCGCGAAGGAGCCGCUGACUGCUGGCUUUUGACGGGGGAGACUCCCUUUUCCUCCGGGUCAGCGCUUGAAGCGUGGGGGUGGGGGGAGGAGAGGGCGUGAAUUUGUAUGGCAGGUGGGGAUACGGCAGGUGAAGCACCCGGGUGAGGGAAGGGAAGGUGGGCGAAGGCGCUCCGCCGGCCAUCGGGAGCCUUGGAGGGAAGAGCUGACUCCGGCGGGCAGAAGUCUAACAAGGGAAGCCUUGGGAGUUGGCCUUGACCUGAAAUCUACAUAGCUCCUUAACUCUGCAACACAAUGUUCUCAGAGCAAGGUAUCCAGUCUGCACAGGGCCUCUUGACAUCCCCGUCUGCAGUGGCUUCCACCUUUGCCCGUGUGCCCAUUUCAACGUAUACCAACUGCUCCCAGAAUUUCAGGCUUGGGGAACGAAGUUUCAAUCGGCAAUAUGCUCAUAUCUAUGCUACACGCCUUAUCCAGAUGAGACCGUUAUUGGUGGACAGAGCCCGGCGUAAAUGGGGGAGCAACAUUACAGUGAAAAAGCUAUGCGAGUUGCAGAUCUCAGAGAAGUGUUGUGUGGUGGGAACACUCUUCAAGUGCAUGCAGCUUCAGCCUUCCAUCUUACGGGAAAUCAGUGAAGAGGUAUGAGAAAAGAACCUUAUAGGUUUAAUUUAAGAAGCAUGGGAGAUAUCAAAGGCAGACUGAGGGAUCUUCUGCACCUAAAGAACCUGAAACUGAGUUUCAGACCCUUCAAAUUUU
Molecule: non-coding RNA, 833 nt
Organism: Thamnophis sirtalis
Lineage: Eukaryota; Metazoa; Chordata; Lepidosauria; Squamata; Natricidae
Source: RefSeq, a predicted model, not a curated record